ACAAAAUGGGUUUGCAACUUCCGCAAUACAUCGGAGUACUUUCAGUGCCAGUAUUCACUAAACAGUCACAGUGUAAAUCCAUAUUAUAAGGAUGAUGUGCCGUCCUGCAAAAUUAACGGUGACAUUUUAUGGAUUUUGGCAAAUUUUCUUCAUUUUCCUCUGCUCAGCCAUUUCAGCAGUUGCAUUGAUUGGGGAAAACAUAUGUUACAGAGGGAAUGAAAGUUUCUGUUGUAAAGACUAUGAAGAAAAAAAUGACAUGUGUGUUGAGUGCAGACCUGGAUUUUGGGGAUAUAAAUGCAACUUGACAUGUCCAGAACCUCAUUAUGGUCCGCUUUGUCGUAUGCUUUGCAGUUGUA
Molecule: long non-coding RNA, 356 nt
Organism: Saccostrea cuccullata (small rock oyster)
Lineage: Eukaryota; Metazoa; Mollusca; Bivalvia; Ostreida; Ostreidae
Exons: 3
Source: RefSeq, a predicted model, not a curated record